CCUUAUUUAACAACACUCUCCACAUCUUCAAUGCACAGAUGCCCACACUCUGCAACGACGGGAGCAGUUGAACACUGGUUCUAGCAUCUCUUCCUAAUGGAGGAGGGUGUAUGAAAAUGUACCCUCUCAAAUCCACAAGUUUUUACAUCUCUUCUCUAUAGAUAUCUAUUUCCAAGUUUAUUCUCCAUCUGGCAUCAGCAGGUAUGCAAACCACCUUCCUAGUGCACUGUUGAUUCCCCAAUUUUAUACAGAAACUGGGGGAGAACUACAAGUUACGAGCCAAUCAAUAGAUCUUUCCUACCAUAUGCUUUUGUAGCUAUAUAUUUCAUGAUAUUGUAGAGUCAAAAGCAUUGGAGGUCCUUACCUAUUUUAACAAGUGCAGUGAGAUCCCUGAACAUUUUCCGCAGACAUAAAGAUUCUCCAGUUAUGCAGUAAGUGUUCUUUGUAGCUCCAGAUGCCUAAUUGUGCUUUUAUGUAACAAAGUUAAGCCCAACUCAACCAGUCGACCUCAAAUUUUUUUUUAAAAAAGGAAACAAUACCACCAUGACAUGCCCCAUCC
RNAcentral lists this long non-coding RNA (559 nucleotides) under Nicotiana tabacum (common tobacco). Its description in RNAcentral is "long non-coding RNA (NTAB_LNC003798)". The record is from RNAcentral. Lineage: Eukaryota; Viridiplantae; Streptophyta; Magnoliopsida; Solanales; Solanaceae.